AGGAAAUAGAUACCCAGGUAGUCCUGGCAGUAAACGGUGCACGUUUGGUGUGGGCGCAAUCGACCGCGUCCGCGCCGGAGCUAAACGCGUUAAACGUGCCGCCUGGGAAGUACGGUCGCAAGAUUAAAACUCAAAGAAAUUGACGGGGACCCGCACAAGCGGUGGAGUAUGUGGCUUAAUUCGAUGCAACGCGAAGAACCUUACCUGGUCUUGACAUGCAUUGUGUCCCCGGUGAAAGCCGGAUAGGGUAGCAAUACCCGCUUUGCACAGGUGCUGCAUGGCUGUCGUCAGCUCGUGUCGUGAGAUGUUGGGUUAAAGUCCCCGCAACGAGCGCAACCCCUGUGAUUUGUUGCCACCGGCUUAUGCCGAGCACUCGAAUCAGACUGCCUCGAUCAACGAGGAGGAAGGUGGGGAUGACGUCAAGUCCGUAUGGCCCUUACGACCAGGGCUGCACACGUACUACAAUGCCCAGUACAAUGUGAACCGAGACCGCGAGGUGGAGGAAAUCAAUAAAACUGGGCUCAGUUCAG
Molecule: ribosomal RNA, 530 nt
Filed under: uncultured bacterium
Lineage: Bacteria
Description: bacterial SSU rRNA
Rfam family: Bacterial small subunit ribosomal RNA
Source: RNAcentral